AUGCCUGCCAUAGAUGUGGGCGAAACGGCAGGAGAGAAUGCUUCCGGAACAUGGCCAUACAGCCUGGAAUGCAUACAACAACCCUAUUAUUAUUAUUAUUAUUAUUAUUAUUAUUAUUAUUAUUAUUAUUAUUAUUUCUCACAACCUCUGAGGAUGCCUGCCAUAGAUGUGGGCGAAACGGCAGGAGAGAAUGCUUCCGGAACAUGGCCAUACAGCCUGGAAUGCAUACAACAACCCUAUUAUUAUUAUUAUUAUUAUUAUUAUUAUUAUUAUUAUUAUUAUUAUUAUUAUUUCUCACAACCUCUGAGGAUGCCUGCCAUAGAUGUGGGCGAAACGGCAGGAGAGAAUGCUUCCGGAACAUGGCCAUACAGCCUGGAAUGCAUACAACAACCCUAUUAUUAUUAUUAUUAUUAUUAUUAUUAUUAUUAUUAUUAUUAUUAUUAUUUCUCACAACCUCUGAGGAUGCCUGCCAUAGAUGUGGGCGAAACGGCAGGAGAGAAUGCUUCCGGAACAUGGCCAUACAGCCUGGAAUGCAUACAACAACCCUAUUAUUAUUAUUAUUAUUAUUAUUAUUAUUAUUAUUAUUAUUAUUAUUUCUCACAACCUCUGAGGAUGCCUGCCAUAGAUGUGGGCGAAACGGCAGGAGAGAAUGCUUCCGGAACAUGGCCAUACAGCCUGGAAUGCAUACAACAACCCUAUUAUUAUUAUUAUUAUUAUUAUUAUUAUUAUUAUUAUUAUUUCUCACAACCUCUGAGGAUGCCUGCCAUAGAUGUGGGCGAAACGGCAGGAGAGAAUGCUUCCGGAACAUGGCCAUACAGCCUGGAAUGCAUACAACAACCCUAUUAUUAUUAUUAUUAUUAUUAUUAUUAUUAUUAUUAUUAUUAUUAUUAUUAUUUCUCACAACCUCUGAGGAUACCUGCCAUAGAUGUGGGCGAAACGGCAGGAGAGAAUGCUUCUGGAACAUGGCCAUACAGCCUGGAAUGCAUACAACAACCCUAUUAUUAUUAUUAUUAUUAUUAUUAUUAUUAUUAUUAUUAUUAUUAUUUCUCACAACCUCUGAGGAUGAGCCCUGUUCUUUCUCCCACCCCCCCAGGGACCAAAACUCUGAGCGGCAGCAUCGCGAGCAUGGACACCUGUGUCCGGCAUUUCAGGGAAGCCACAGGUAAGGCAGAACUUUGGCAACUUCGAGGGAAAAUGUCCUGUCUUUGCAAGAAGCCAAAGUCUCCUCCGCAUUUUAUCCUUAUCUCCCAGAGGUGUGGUUCCUCUUCUUGA
This 1272-nucleotide long non-coding RNA is filed under the name Anolis carolinensis (green anole). RNAcentral describes it as "lncRNA (ENSACAG00000044496.1)". The record is from RNAcentral. Lineage: Eukaryota; Metazoa; Chordata; Lepidosauria; Squamata; Anolidae.